This is a non-coding RNA of Hydra vulgaris (swiftwater hydra), 525 nucleotides long. The record is from RefSeq and is a predicted model, not a curated record. NCBI's taxonomy places the organism in Eukaryota, Metazoa, Cnidaria, Hydrozoa, Anthoathecata, Hydridae.
UACAUGAUUCCAUAGCGUAAAGUUAGGUCCCGUAAAAUGUUCCGCAAUUGUCCCGCUUCACGUCCAGGACAGAGUUAACAUAAUUAAUUUUUGCAUUUAUAAUUUAAUUUAUGAAAUAAUUAAUAUUCUUUAAAUGUGGAGCACGUUUUCACCUGGUUAUCGUCGAAGAUUAAAUUUAAAUUGAUUGCUGAGGAUACUAAAUUUAGAAGAGUGCGAUUCUCAAACCGUAUUAAAGAUGCUUUGUCAAGAAUAAAGUAGUAAGGGAAAGAGUGUUUCCAGUUUGCUUUCCUUCAAAAAGUUCUCAUACUGGUCAUUUUACUAGAGAUGAUACUUAUUACUUAAGUAUAAAGACGUCCGAAACUUGUGUUGUUUAAAGAAUCUUAAUGUAAGUAAAGAUGUUACUACAAAAUGAUAACAGUUUAUGUGAUUAGGAAAUUAUUUGUUUAUUUAGUAUAAGGUUUAAGUCUAUAAUAUAUUUUUUGAGUUAUUGUUUUUUUUAAACUUAUUUCCAAAUAACUUUAAGUA